RNAcentral lists this ribosomal RNA (465 nucleotides) under Vreelandella stevensii. Its description in RNAcentral is "partial 16S ribosomal RNA". It matches the Rfam family "Bacterial small subunit ribosomal RNA", at positions 338 to 795 of the family's 1533-position model. Lineage: Bacteria; Pseudomonadati; Pseudomonadota; Gammaproteobacteria; Oceanospirillales; Halomonadaceae. The record is from RNAcentral.
CCUACGGGAGGCUGCAGUGGGGAGUAUUGGACAAUGGGGGGAACCCUGAUCCAGCCAUGCCGCGUGUGUGAAGAAGGCCCUCGGGUUGUAAAGCACUUUCAGUGAGGAAGAACGCCUGGUGGUUAAUACCCAUCAGGAAAGACAUCACUCACAGAAGAAGCACCGGCUAACUCCGUGCCAGCAGCCGCGGUAAUACGGAGGGUGCGAGCGUUAAUCGGAAUUACUGGGCGUAAAGCGCGCGUAGGUGGCUUGAUAAGCCGGUUGUGAAAGCCCCGGGCUCAACCUGGGAACGGCAUCCGGAACUGUCAAGCUAGAGUGCAGGAGAGGAAGGUAGAAUUCCCGGUGUAGCGGUGAAAUGCGUAGAGAUCGGGAGGAAUACCAGUGGCGAAGGCGGCCUUCUGGACUGACACUGACACUGAGGUGCGAAAGCGUGGGUAGCAAACAGGAUUAGAUACCCCAGUAGUC